UCCUGUGUUUGGAAGUGAUUGUGGGCUGCCAGUGCCCUGGUCAUUGAUGCCUCAGGGACAGGGUGCCAAGAGCCUUCUCCGUGUUUGGAGGGUCUGCUGUCCUUACCAAACCCUGGUGCUUUUGAACA
Molecule: small nucleolar RNA, 128 nt
Organism: Apodemus sylvaticus (European woodmouse)
Lineage: Eukaryota; Metazoa; Chordata; Mammalia; Rodentia; Muridae
Product: small nucleolar RNA SNORA71
Exons: 1
Source: RefSeq, a predicted model, not a curated record